Molecule: RNA transcript, 626 nt
Organism: Carlito syrichta (Philippine tarsier)
Lineage: Eukaryota; Metazoa; Chordata; Mammalia; Primates; Tarsiidae
Gene name: ATP synthase F(0) complex subunit C2, mitochondrial pseudogene
Exons: 1
Source: RefSeq, a predicted model, not a curated record
UCUCUGUCUUCUCUGCACUGGGGAGCAGCUCUCCUGCCACAGUCCCUCAUUCAGAUGUACGCCUGCUCCACGUUUGUCUCUACCCCCUCCUUGGUCAAGAGUACCUCUCAGCUGCUAAGCCAACCACUGACGGCAGUGGUGCUGAACCGACCAGAGACACUACCAGAUGAGAGCCUCAGCAGCUUGGCAGUCUCGCAUCCCCUUACCUCACUUGUCCCUAGCCGCAGCUUCCAAACCAGCACCAUUUCAAGGGACAUGGACACAGCAACCAAGUUCAUUGGGGCUGAGGCUGCCACAGUUGGGGUGGCUGGCUCUGGGGCUGGGAUUGGGGCUGUGUUUGGGAGCCUCAUCAUUGGUUAUGCCAGGAACUCUUCUCUGAACAACAGCUCUUCUUCUACACCAUUCUGGGCUUUGCCCUCUUGGGGCUCUUUUGCCUGAUGGUAACCUUUCUCAUCCUCUUUGCCAUGUGAAGGAGCUGUCUCCAUAUCCCAUCGUUCUUUCUCCCACGUCUUGUCUGCCCUGUGUGUCCUUUUUUCUGUAGCUCCCCAGGCAGCCUGGGGAAACUGGUUGGCUUAGGGUUUGACAGAGGGAAGAUAAAUAAAUACUGUAUUAAUAAGAAAAAAAAA